This 264-nucleotide long non-coding RNA is filed under the name Gossypium barbadense (sea-island cotton). RNAcentral describes it as "long non-coding RNA (GBAR_LNC006589)". The record is from RNAcentral. Lineage: Eukaryota; Viridiplantae; Streptophyta; Magnoliopsida; Malvales; Malvaceae.
GCGAGGUCGAAGACGUGCCCAUGCAACAUACACCAUAGAAAGUAAGCAUCGUGAGUGUUGACGACGCCUGUGCUCUCUCGUCUCCAUGUCAGAGUGUGGGCCAAGAUGGCAUGUAGGUACCUUAAGGAUAGAGGGAGAGCCGAUGCCUUAGAGUGGCUAGGAUCGUAGGUGGCUGAGACAGGGACUAAAGCAUUCCAGCACCUUGAAGGAAAAUGAUGGAUGUGGCGAUUGAGAGUGUCAAGAUCGUUCUUCUCCAUGAACUCU